UAUAUCGGCUCUUUUCCUCCGGACCGGGUCUCUCCGGCUCCCCACCCCAACCUCACCCCCCAGCCCUCCCUCCCAGGAAGGGACUGAAUGACAACUUGCAGAGUUGUUCUCGCUCGAGCAGCCGGAAGGAGGGAUUUACCGGGAAGAGUGCGUAAAGAGGAGGGAGAACAAGAGUCGCGAAGGACAGUCAGUGUCGGAGGUGUGGGUCCAGGAUUGACUUGACUUUUCUCCGGUCCGUCCCUCCUUUAGAAUCCCCGCUGUGGAGACAUCCGACGGCUUCCCGUCGUCCUCACCCCAAGUGUCCCUUACGUGUCUGCGCGAGGAGCCGCGGAGCCUGAGGUGAAGCAGAGAUCCUCUGAGACCAGCUGAGGGACACCAGGACAGAGGAUCAUGGAGACCUGCUCUACUUCAAGGAAACUUACUUUGCUCUCCUUUCUCCUGGGGCUCUCGGGUAAGUGGGCCUACAUUCAAAUGU
Long non-coding RNA from Poecilia latipinna (sailfin molly), 475 nucleotides. RefSeq lists it as uncharacterized. NCBI's taxonomy places the organism in Eukaryota, Metazoa, Chordata, Actinopteri, Cyprinodontiformes, Poeciliidae. The record is from RefSeq and is a predicted model, not a curated record. The transcript is spliced from 3 exons.